ACGAACGCUGGCGGCGUGCUUAACACCUGCAAGUCGAACGGAAAGGCCCUGCUUUUGUGGGGUGCUUGAGUGGCGAACGGGUGAGUAACACGUGAGUAACCUGCCCUUGACUUUGGGAUAACUUCAGGAAACUGGGGCUAAUACCGGAUAGGAGCUCCUGCUGCAUGGUGGGGGUUGGAAAGUUUCGGCGGUUGGGGAUGGACUCGCGGCUUAUCAGCUUGUUGGUGGGGUAGUGGCUUACCAAGGCUUUGACGGGUAGCCGGCCUGAGAGGGUGACCGGCCACAUUGGGACUGAGAUACGGCCCAGACUCCUACGGGAGGCAGCAGUGGGGAAUAUUGCACAAUGGGCGGAAGCCUGAUGCAGCAACGCCGCGUGCGGGAUGACGGCCUUCGGGUUGUGAACCGCUUUCGCCUGUGACGAAGCGUGAGUGACGGUAAUGGGUAAAGAAGCACCGGCUAACUACGUG
Molecule: ribosomal RNA, 467 nt
Filed under: uncultured bacterium
Lineage: Bacteria
Description: partial 16S ribosomal RNA
Rfam family: Bacterial small subunit ribosomal RNA
Source: RNAcentral